UGGGGAAUUUUGGACAAUGGGCGAAAGCCUGAUCCAGCAAUGCCGCGUGAGUGAAGAAGGCCUUCGGGUUGUAAAGCUCUUUCGGACAGAACGAAACCUUUGGCUCUAACAUAGUCAAAGACUGACGGUACUGUAAUAAGAAGCACCGGCUAACUACGUGCCAGCAGCCGCGGUAAUACGUAGGGUGCGAGCGUUAAUCGGAAUUACUGGGCGUAAAGCGUGCGCAGGCGGUGAUAUAAGUCAGAUGUGAAAGCCCCGAGCUCAACUUGGGAAUUGCGUUUGAAACUGUAUCACUAGAGUUCAGCAGAGGGGGGUGGAAUUCCACGUGUAGCAGUGAAAUGCGUAGAGAUGUGGAGGAACACCGAUGGCGAAGGCAGCCCCCUGGGCUAGAACUGACGCU
This 400-nucleotide ribosomal RNA is filed under the name uncultured bacterium. RNAcentral's name for it is "bacterial SSU rRNA". It matches the Rfam family "Bacterial small subunit ribosomal RNA", at positions 355 to 747 of the family's 1533-position model. The record is from RNAcentral.